RNAcentral lists this long non-coding RNA (520 nucleotides) under Cavia porcellus (domestic guinea pig). RNAcentral's name for it is "lncRNA (ENSCPOG00000036280.1)". The record is from RNAcentral. Lineage: Eukaryota; Metazoa; Chordata; Mammalia; Rodentia; Caviidae.
UUUUAUUUUUUGAGUCUAUUUAUUGGGAUGACAUGGUUCUAUUCACUGUAACACCAUGCUAAUGUUUCCUAUCGUUUUUUGGGGGAUAACAAAGGUGCUUUGGAAGUCAGAUGGCUUCUGUGACACUGCUGGGUGGGCUCUUUGACAGAGCUGGGUCUGGUGUCAUGUCCCAAAGGAUGUUCCCUGGGCUGCACUGGCCUGUGUCCUGGGACGCCAGCUCGUCCCUCUUGCUCCUCCACUGCCAGGAACUCCAUACAUCGAGCCAACAGCACCUUCCAACUGCACCACUGCCAGUGCCUUCCUGUGAGUUCUCUGCUCCUGCCUUUCCCUUCUCAGUCCUUCCUCCAUGCAGCAACAACAGUGAUCACAAUUUAGAUAUGACGUCGUUGCUGGAAUGCUCAGUAGAAGUGACAUUAAUUCUGCACAGAAAACUACGGAGAUGCUCCUAUGGACUCAACUGAAUUUCAACAAUAACUUCGAGUUUUGCGUAUUGGUGAGUUUAAGGCCAGCCUGUUUUUUU